Long non-coding RNA from Hippocampus comes (tiger tail seahorse), 1801 nucleotides. RefSeq lists it as uncharacterized. The record is from RefSeq and is a predicted model, not a curated record. The transcript has 3 exons. NCBI's taxonomy places the organism in Eukaryota, Metazoa, Chordata, Actinopteri, Syngnathiformes, Syngnathidae.
UCCAUACACUUUAAGAUAUAAUGUAUAUGUGUAUCCUUGUUGCAUGUGUUUCAGUACAGUACUCCGUUUCAACUGCCAUUCUUUUUUUUUUUUUGAGUACUCGAUGAUUUAAGUGACGGUGUCACAUUUCCAUUCAUACAACAUUACACAAACAACUGGCAGGUCUUAUUUACUCUUGAGUGUGCUACAGAGCAUGUGACACUGCUUAUUUUUCUCUCACGUCUGACCUUUGACCGCCAGUAGCUAAAGCCACCCUCAUCUCCCACAAAAAAAAAAAAAACGGUCUGUUUCUUGCAAAAGAGUUAUGGGCUUAGCUCGAAAGUGAUGCACAUAAGCAUUCUUUGACUUUUUUUUUGCCCUACUUUCCUUUGUAUGUGCUCUUUUGUGACAGAGAGGAACAGACUAACAUGGGGAGUCAAGGAGAAAAGAGGAAAUCAGUCUUGUCAGCAAAAAAAAAAUAAAAGACACACCCUCAAGUCGCUUUACAAAAACAUCAAGUGACUCUCGAGCCCAAGUCGGGACGGGUCUUUACUAGCGUUUACAGUAUACUUCUCCAUGUGUACGAUAACUCUUUUAGCUUUUCUGUCCCAUGCACCCUACGAUCUUUUUUUUUUUUUUCUUUAAUCUCACGGCAAUAAAAUUCCUCUUGCACGCCGACUCUGUUAUCAGACGUGCACAGUCACUUUCAUUUGUUUGCACGGGAGACUGCGUUAAAUUAGCCCUUGACAAUUCCGACACCAGGAAUGAAAACAAUAUGCUCGAGGUUCCAGGAAUGUUGGCGCUCGGCUGUAUCCCAUAUGAGGCUAAUAAAAGUGCAGGAAGGGAACACUCCAGAAUGCUCGGCAAAGAAGUCCGGUUUAGAUAGGGAUGAAGUUUGUAAUCAACUUUGAUAUGAUUGCCAUUUAAGAGCACGUUAUGCAAUUGUGUGUGUGUUCCUUGGCGCUUAACACCUCCAGUGGUAAGUUACAGCAAGUUGUUUGCUAUUAUUCUUUAUUUUGUUUCUCUAAAAUUCUCAUAAGCUUUUAAAAUCAUUAGCCGCAAUAUGCGCAAUUACCUAAAUUGAAAAAAAAAAAGCACCUUCUCGACGCCCAUCCCAUCUGCCUUCACGAUUCACAUAUUCUUUGCAGGCAACCGAUACAAAAAUGUGACAAAACUAUCAACAUUAUCCAGAUUUGUGCAAAGAUUUAAAGGGUUGUUCCUCGGUUAAUAAUCUGGCUUUGCAUAAGCUUUAUAAAUAUCAACACUGAGUCAUGUUAAGUAACGUAUAACAAAUAACAAUAGAAAUAUACAAAACUGUCAGCAAUCCCCACAAACUAAUUGUACCCUCUGACAUCUAGUGAAAGUGAAUUUUAAAUGUCCUUCUUGGCACUGCAUGUCGCAGGCAAAGAUAGACAAAUAUUUGUAGUAAAUAAAUAUUUCUUGGGGCUAAUUAAGUGAAAUGGAAUAAUUUCCCACAGGCCACGGCACAGUGGGUGGGAAUCACAAAGUCAAGGACAAAACCGUUGCUGUCACCUGCUCGUUGGUUCUCUUCCAGAAGACAGCCAGGGUGAAGACGGCCGUGACGGGCGGCGCCAGUUCCAAAUCGUUUCAUACCUGCCGACCAGAAGCAAUUCUCUCUCGGAGGCUCGGGGCCGGUGCUUCUUCCAGAUGUCCAUGGUGAACAGUGUGGAGCUGCUGUUGAAGAUGGAGUUGGACGUGUUCUCACCGCUUGGCAUGAGCUCAAUGACGAGUUUGGGGAAGGCGAUGUUGGAGCAUCCCACCUCAGCUCCACACACCCGCACACAUUCCUCGGGGUCCACGC